AGUCACUGACAUUAGAUACCCGGGUAGUCCCAGCCGUAAACAAUGUGCGUUAGGUGUGUCGGUAACCACGUGUUACUGAUGUGCCGAAGAGAAAUCGUGAAACGCACCACCCGGGAAGUACGGUCGCAAGGCUGAAACUUAAAGGAAUUGGCGGGGAGCACCACAACAGGUGGAGCCUGCGGUUUAAUUGGAUUCAACGCCGGACAUCUCACCGGAUAAGACAGCUGAAUGAUUGUCAAUCUGAAGGUUUUACAUGACUAGCUG
Molecule: ribosomal RNA, 264 nt
Filed under: uncultured archaeon
Lineage: Archaea
Description: partial 16S ribosomal RNA
Rfam family: Archaeal small subunit ribosomal RNA
Source: RNAcentral